AUGGCUGAAUGUACAAUCUCUUGGUUGACUCAACGAUGAAAAACGCAGAGAAAUGUGAUGAGAAAUAUGAAUUGCAACCUUUGUGAAUCAUCGACUCUUUAAAGACACCCCACCCCUUGAAAUAUUCCUGAAUGCAUGCCA
Molecule: ribosomal RNA, 141 nt
Filed under: Suhomyces tanzawaensis NRRL Y-17324
Lineage: Eukaryota; Fungi; Ascomycota; Pichiomycetes; Serinales; Debaryomycetaceae
Description: Candida tanzawaensis NRRL Y-17324 5.8S ribosomal RNA
Rfam family: 5.8S ribosomal RNA (bases 16-141)
About the family: 5.8S ribosomal RNA (5.8S rRNA) is a component of the large subunit of the eukaryotic ribosome. It is transcribed by RNA polymerase I as part of the 45S precursor that also contains 18S and 28S rRNA. Functionally, it is thought that 5.8S rRNA may be involved in ribosome translocation.
Source: Rfam by way of RNAcentral